GUUUGGAACCCGUGCGGCACUGCGGCGUGAACCAUGUCAGGGUCGAAAGGCAGCAGCAUUAAACGUUUGCGAUGCGCGCCGCGGGUAUGCCGGCCCGA
This 98-nucleotide signal recognition particle RNA is filed under the name Clostridia bacterium. Its description in RNAcentral is "signal recognition particle sRNA small type". It matches the Rfam family "Bacterial small signal recognition particle RNA". From Rfam's summary of the family: The signal recognition particle (SRP) is a universally conserved ribonucleoprotein involved in the co-translational targeting of proteins to membranes. The record is from RNAcentral. Lineage: Bacteria; Bacillati; Bacillota; Clostridia.